GACGAACGCUGGCGGCGCGCUUAACACAUGCAAGUCGAACGGAAAGGCCUGCUUUCCCUUGUGGAUUUCGGGUACUCGAGUGGCGAACGUGUGAGUACCACGUUAGUGAUCUGCCCCCAACUUGGGUAUAAGCCUGGGAACCUGGGUCUAAUUCUCGCUAGGUCUUCAGGGUUGUGACUGUGCUGGGGAACGGUUUUCUAGUGGUUGGGGUUGAGGUCGCGGUCUAUCAGCUUGUUGCUGAGGUAAUGGCCUACCAAGGUGGCGACGGGUCGCCGGGCCGGGAGGGUGGACGGAGACGUUGAGACGGAGAUAUGGCCCAGACUCCUACGGGAGGCAGCUGUGGGGGAUAGUGCUGGAGGGUAGUAAGCCAGGGGCAGCGACGCGGCGUGGGAGAUGACGGCCCUCGGGGAGUAAACUCCUUUCGACCGCGAGUAAGCGACCGGGUUGGGAUGGUGGUGACGGUAGUGGUAGAAGAAGCACCGGCUAACUACGUG
RNAcentral lists this ribosomal RNA (494 nucleotides) under uncultured bacterium. RNAcentral's name for it is "partial 16S ribosomal RNA". It matches the Rfam family "Bacterial small subunit ribosomal RNA", at positions 28 to 507 of the family's 1533-position model. The record is from RNAcentral.